GAGUUUGAUCCUGGCUCAGGAUGAACGCUGGCGGCGUGCUUAACACAUGCAAGUCGAGCGCGGUCCCUUUGGUGCUUGCACCAAAGAAGACUGAGCGGCGGACGGGUGAGUAACGCGUGGGUAACCUGCCCUAUACACAUGGAUAACAUGCUGAAAAGCAUACUAAUACAUGAUAACGUACACUGAUGGCAUCUUCGGUGUAUCAAAGCGUUAGCGGUAUAGGAUGGACCCGCGUCUGAUUAGCUAGUUGGUGGGGUAAAAGCCUACCAAGGCCACGAUCAGUAGCCGACCUGAGAGGGUGAUCGGCCACAUUGGAACUGAGACACGGUCCAAACUCCUACGGGAGGCAGCAGUGGGGAAUAUUGCACAAUGGGCGAAAGCCUGAUGCAGCAACGCCGCGUGAACGAUGAAGGUCUUCGGAUCGUAAAGUUCUGUCGCAGGGGAAGAUAAUGACGGUACCCUGUGAGGAAGCACCGGCUAACUACGUGCCAGCAGCCGCGGUAAUACGUAGGGUGCUAGCGUUAUCCGGAUUUACUGGGCGUAAAGGGUGCGUAGGUGGUCUUUCAAGUCGGUGGUUAAAGGCUACGGCUCAACCGUAUUAAGCCGCCGAAACUGGAAGACUUGAGUGCAGGAGAGGAAAGUGGAAUUCUCAGUGUAGCGGUGAAAUGCGUAGAUAUUGAGAAGAACACCAGUAGCGAAGGCGGCUUUCUGGACUGUAACUGACACUGAGGCACGAAAGCGUGGGUAGCAAACAGGAUUAGAUACCCUGGUAGUCCACGCCGUAAACGAUGAGUAUUAGGUGUCGGGGGUUACCCCCCUCGGUGCCGCAGUUAACGCAUUAAAUACUCCGCCUGGGGAGUACGCACGCAAGUGUGAAACUCAAAGGAAUUGACGGGGACCCGCACAAGUAGCGGAGCAUGUGGUUUAAUUCGAAGCAACGCGAAGAACCUUACCUAAGCUUGACAUCUCUCAGAUCGGUAGUUAAUCCUACCUUCCCUUCGGGGCUGAGAUGACAGGUGGUGCAUGGUUGUCGUCAGCUCGUGUCGUGAGAUGUUGGGUUAAGUCCCGCAACGAGCGCAACCCUUGUCUUUAGUUGCCAGCAUUAAGUUGGGCACUCUAGAGAGACUGCCAGGGAUAACCUGGAGGAAGGUGGGGAUGACGUCAAAUCAUCAUGCUCCUUAUGCUUAGGGCUACACACGUGCUACAAUGGGUGGUACAGAGGGUUGCCAAACCGCAAGGUGGAGCUAAUCCCUUAAAGCCAUUCUCAGUUCGGAUUGUAGGCUGAAACUCGCCUACAUGAAGCUGGAGUUACUAGUAAUCGCAGAUCAGAAUGCUGCGGUGAAUGCGUUCCGCGGGUCUUGUACACACCGCCCGUCAAGGAA
Molecule: ribosomal RNA, 1382 nt
Filed under: uncultured bacterium
Lineage: Bacteria
Description: bacterial SSU rRNA
Rfam family: Bacterial small subunit ribosomal RNA
Source: RNAcentral